CAGUUCUACCUGAUCUUGUUGGGC
Molecule: non-coding RNA, 24 nt
Filed under: Arabidopsis thaliana (thale cress)
Lineage: Eukaryota; Viridiplantae; Streptophyta; Magnoliopsida; Brassicales; Brassicaceae
Source: RNAcentral